Molecule: ribosomal RNA, 945 nt
Filed under: uncultured archaeon
Lineage: Archaea
Description: bacterial SSU rRNA
Rfam family: Archaeal small subunit ribosomal RNA
Source: RNAcentral
UUUCCGGUUGAUCCCGCCGGACCUUACUGCUAUCGGGUUGAGACUAAGCCAUGCAAGUCGAGCGUUUUCAAGCUAUGUUGAAAGCGCGGCAUAAGGCUCCGUAACACGUAGUUAACCUACCCUCAGGAUGGAGAUAACCCCUGGGAAACUGGGACUAAUAUCCAAUAAAUGAUUAUGCCUGGAAUGGUUUAUCAUUGAAAGGGCUGAAUACAUGCUUUCAGUAUCACCUGAGGAUGGGACUGCGUCCGAUCAGGUUGUUGGCGGGGUAGCGGCCCACCAAGCCUAUAACCGGUACGGGUCCUGAGAGGGGGAGCCCGGAGAUGGAAACUGAGACAAGGUUCCAGGCCCUACGGGGCGCAGCAGGCGCGAAACCUCCACAAUGCGCGAAAGCGUGAUGGGGUUAGCCCGAGUGCUGUCCGAAAAGGAUGGCUUUUCCUUGGCGUAAAAACCCAGGGGAAUAAAGGGGGGGCAAGACUGGUGUCAGCCGCCGCGGUAAUACCAGCCCCCUGAGUGGUAAGGACGAUUAUUUGGCUUAAAGCGUCCGUAGCCGGCUUAGUGAGUCUCUUGUUAAAUCCAAUGAUUCAAUCAUUGAACUGCAAGAGAUACUACUAUGCUAGAGGACGGGAGAGGUCGACGGUAGUCCAAGGGUAGGGGUGAAAUCCUAUAAUCCUUGGAGGACCACCAGUGGCGAAGGCGGUCGACUAGAACGUGCCUGACGGUGAGGGACGAAAGCUGGGGGAGCGAACCGGAUUAGAUACCCGGGUAGUCCCAGCUGUAAACGAUGCGGGCUAGGUGUAGGGGCAGCUACGAGCUGCUCCUGUGCCGCAGAGAAAUUGUUAAGCCCGCCGCCUGGGGAGUACGAUCGCAAGAUUGAAACUUAAAGGAAUUGGCGGGGGAGCACCACAAGGGGUGAAGGCUGCGGUUUAAUUGGAUUCAACGCCGGAA